Molecule: long non-coding RNA, 275 nt
Filed under: Amborella trichopoda
Lineage: Eukaryota; Viridiplantae; Streptophyta; Magnoliopsida; Amborellales; Amborellaceae
Description: long non-coding RNA (ATRI_LNC002520)
Source: RNAcentral
UCCUUUGGUGUUUUUGCAUCUUUGAUGUGCUACAUGAGUUCCUUCUGGAUCAAAACUUUCAAUACAUACAAUGUCUUACUCGCUCAGAUGUGCAAAGGCUUCUUCAUUUGCAACUUUCGUUGAUACUACCACAGUGUCGCCACCAUUCACCGUCUCCCAGAGAUCUUGCCCUUACAAAUACAGGAUCGCCAAUCAAUGUAAUUGUGGUUACCAAGUUUUUCGAACCCAGGACGCCUCUCUCUUUCUCUCUCUACAAUACCCGCACCGCCUGCGCU